RNAcentral lists this small RNA (408 nucleotides) under Histoplasma capsulatum var. duboisii H88. RNAcentral describes it as "Histoplasma capsulatum H88 hypothetical RNA". The record is from RNAcentral. Lineage: Eukaryota; Fungi; Ascomycota; Eurotiomycetes; Onygenales; Ajellomycetaceae.
AGUGAAAAUAAGAAUAAGAAUAAAAGUAAAAGUAAAAAUAAAAGUAAAAAUAAAAAUAUUAAAGUGAGAAUAAGAAUAAAAAUAAAAAUGAAAAUAAAAAUAAAAAUAAAAAUAAAAAUAAGAGUAAAAAUGAGAAUAAGAGUAUUAGAAUAAGAAUGAGAAUAAAAGUAAGAGUAAUUUAGAGUUAGAAUUAAAGAAUGAGAGUGAGAAUAAGAAUUAGAGUUAAAGUUGAAAUAAGUAUAAUUUAAAAUUGAAGUUAAAGAAUGAGAAUAAAAAUGAAAGUAAAAGUGAGAAUGAGAAUUAGAGUUAAAGUUAAAAUAAGAGUGAUUUAAAGUUAGAGUUAAAGAAUAAAAGUGAGAAUGAGAGAUAGAAUUAGAGUAAAAGUAAGAGUGAUUUAGAGUUAGAGUU